This 270-nucleotide long non-coding RNA is filed under the name Helianthus annuus (common sunflower). RNAcentral describes it as "hypothetical non coding rna". Lineage: Eukaryota; Viridiplantae; Streptophyta; Magnoliopsida; Asterales; Asteraceae. The record is from RNAcentral.
UUGAGUUGAACCAAACUAUAAAUCAUCUUUAAUCAAUAAACAAAUAAAUUUAUCCAUCAUUCUGUCUCAUUUAUAUACAAAAUUGGCACCUCUUAUUUAAUUUUUAUUUUCUUCAUUUCGAGUAAGAUCCCUUUAACACAAAUGAACAAAGCUUUCUAGACAUCUAAUGAUAUGAAAAUUGCAAUUAACUGUAAUGUAUGCUUUCACCUUCAGAAACAUCAUGGUGAUUUUUUAAACAGGUUUACCUGAAGUUGUAUUACAAAGGCGCUA